RNAcentral lists this ribosomal RNA (460 nucleotides) under uncultured bacterium. RNAcentral's name for it is "partial 16S ribosomal RNA". It matches the Rfam family "Bacterial small subunit ribosomal RNA", at positions 338 to 795 of the family's 1533-position model. The record is from RNAcentral.
CCUACGGGCGGCAGCAGUGAGGAAUAUUGGUCAAUGGACGAGAGUCUGAACCAGCCAAGUAGCGUGAAGGAUGACUGCCCUAUGGGUUGUAAACUUCUUUUAUAUGGGAAUAAAAUGUUCCACGUGUGGGAUUUUGUAUGUACCAUAUGAAUAAGGAUCGGCUAACUCCGUGCCAGCAGCCGCGGUAAUACGGAGGAUCCGAGCGUUAUCCGGAUUUAUUGGGUUUAAAGGGAGCGUAGGUGGAUUGUUAAGUCAGUUGUGAAAGUUUGCGGCCCAACCGUAAAAUUGCAGUUGAAACUGGCAGUCUUGAGUACAGUAGAGGUGGGCGGAAUUCGUGGUGUAGCGGUGAAAUGCUUAGAUAUCACGAAGAACUCCGAUUGCGAAGGCAGUUCACUGGACUGCAACUGACACUGAGGCUCGAAAGUGUGGGUAUCAAACAGGAUUAGAUACCCUUGUAGUC